GAUGAACGCUGGCGGCGUGCCUAAUACAUGCAAGUCGAGCGAACGGACGAGAAGCUUGCUUUUCUGAUGUUAGCGGCGGACGGGUGAGUAACACGUGGAUAACCUACCUAUAAGACUGGGAUAACUUCGGGAAACCGGAGCUAAUACCGGAUAAUAUUUUGAACCGCAUGGUUCAAAAGUGAAAGACGGUCUUGCUGUCACUUAUAGAUGGAUCCGCGCUGCAUUAGCUAGUUGGUAAGGUAACGGCUUACCAAGGCAACGAUGCAUAGCCGACCUGAGAGGGUGAUCGGCCACACUGGAACUGAGACACGGUCCAGACUCCUACGGGAGGCAGCAGUAGGGAAUCUUCCGCAAUGGGCGAAAGCCUGACGGAGCAACGCCGCGUGAGUGAUGAAGGUCUUCGGAUCGUAAAACUCUGUUAUUAGGGAAGAGCAUAUGUGUAAGUAGCUGUGCACAUCUUGACGGUACCUAAUCAGAAAGCCACGGCUAACUACGUG
Molecule: ribosomal RNA, 497 nt
Filed under: uncultured bacterium
Lineage: Bacteria
Description: partial 16S ribosomal RNA
Rfam family: Bacterial small subunit ribosomal RNA
Source: RNAcentral